GGGGUUGUGGCUCAGCGGUAGAGUGCACCCCUGGCACAUGUAAGGUUGUGGAUUCGACCCUCAACACCA
RNAcentral lists this transfer RNA (69 nucleotides) under Marmota monax (woodchuck). Its description in RNAcentral is "tRNA.Ala". The record is from RNAcentral. Lineage: Eukaryota; Metazoa; Chordata; Mammalia; Rodentia; Sciuridae.